GUGGAGGUUGCAGUGAGCUGAGAUCGCGCCACUGCACUCCAGCUUGGGCGACAGAGCGAGACUCCAUCUAAAAAAUACAGCUGUAUCAAAUCUGCUUGUGCUUUGGCCAUCUGAGAGAUCUUAAGUGUGCAAUGCAAUGAGGAUGGAGCAACGUAUACACCAAUCAAGAGAAAGAACAUGUCCAUUACCCCAAAAAGUUCUCUUACACCCGCUUCCAGGCAACUGAUCCUGAGCACACGUCUCCAUGGCGGCAGGAGUCAUUGCUUUUUAGAUCACGUUCUCCGAGCAAGAGCCGAGAAAUCGAUAUCUCUCACAAGGCUGUAGACGUGCUGGAACUGAUUAGUCAUUAACCUAUUGUCACUCCUCCCAGCGCUCAUGGAAGGAGUUGCAGCAUGUCAAUGGAUUUUAAAAGAGUACCAGGAUUAAACUUCUCCAUGGCAGUGGGCAUUUGUGAAAGGUCUGUUCUGAAAUACCAGUACCAUCUUCUCACAUGUUAAGGGCCAAAAAUCUCAGUAAGUCACUCCAAAUCAGGUUUUACAGAUGAUUUUUUGAAAUAUUGAUUCUGGUAUUGUCCCUGAAAAUUUAAUUUAUCAAAUAAGCCAAUUAAGAAGCGUCUUUUAAAGGCACGUAGGGACCAUUCAGCACUGGAUGGACAAGAAAAUGAACAUAUUAAUCUUACAGUCAGCAACGUUUUGUUGAUGCUUUGGAAACUGAACUGCAAAGGAGUACUUAAAUGAACUGAAAGAGUUAAUUUGACUUCUAAGAGCCAUAAACUGGCUUGGGUUGGGUGGAU
This 793-nucleotide long non-coding RNA is filed under the name Homo sapiens (human). RNAcentral's name for it is "HSALNT0325045". Lineage: Eukaryota; Metazoa; Chordata; Mammalia; Primates; Hominidae. The record is from RNAcentral.